CACACCAGAUGGGACUCCUGCCUUCAUUUUUCUUACUCCUUCUCCCAGCUUUUUUCCCCUUGAUUUUUUUUAUGUUGGCCACAGCAACCUGUGACACCUCUUUCGGAAUACAUUUCCUCUCAACAGGGCUCAGUUAACAAUAUCCUUAUAUUUGUGUUCAUAUGUACAAUAGGGGUUGCACGGCUGCUCAUUUCUUUUUCAAGAGAAAUUCAAUCAAAUUAAAAUCGAGGGGAUUGUAGUGUUGAAUUUUAAGCUUCAUAAUUCAGAUUUCUUGUUUGAUCAGUGAAGACAAAAGGAGCAAAUGCUUUCUAUUUGAUGAGAUCUUUUACAGCUGCUAAAUAAUUUACCAAUGAUUCACCAGUCCCUGAAACAGCACAAACGAAGCCUUCACAUGUCCCCUUGGUGGUACAUUAAGAGUAGAGAAUCUAACAAUGGAUGUAGCAACGUUUUACAUUGUUGUGAGUAUGCAGACAUGUUUGGUUGAACAGUUCUCAUUUCACUAACUGAAGAUGUUGCACAUUAUUAUAAUUUUUAAACUGUUGGGUAGCAAAGGUCCAGUUGUCGUUCACGACCAUGUAAGCGGUUCCCACACAACAAAAUCUGGAGCAUUUAUCCUUUAAUUUUAAUCACUCAGCCAGGUGAGAACAAUGUCUAAACUUAAAAUACUGUACAUUAAGGCCUGAGUAUGUUUCAAACUAAUCAGAUCAUGCAAGUUGCUUUCUGACAGAGACUGUCCUCCAAGAAAUAUAAGUUUCAGUAAAUGUCUGCAAGACCUCUAACAGCUUUGCGAAUUAUGACUCUUGUCCACAGAGAGCUCAGAAAGUCUUAAUGUUAUAAAAUUAUUAUAUUAUUAUUAUAAAAUACUUAAUAGAGUCCACAGAAGGAGAAGGUCAGAGUGGUUGGAUGAAUCAGCAAAAGUUUGAUUCUCAUUUCCAACCAACAAUUAACAUGACAUCAUUAACCAUGACCAUGUUGCCUCGGGCUUUCAGAGUAAAAACAUGCAAACAGUGUUCAAAAAAGUUCAACGGCAUUGUUGUGUCAGAUUGUCUAAAACUCUACUUUCCACCAUUGGGGUCUCAGACACUGUUACACUAUGAGUACCUUAUUUGAAAUAGAUUCAGGCCUUCAGUCCUCUUCCCAGUAAACUGUAGUCUAGUUUGUUGAAGAAAUUACAAUACCCAUACCAACAACACUUACCAAUCCCUAAAUUCAAAUCCUAAUGGUUAUAAGGAGACAAAUGUUGGCAUUUGUAAGCCAUUAUGUCUGCUAAAAAGGAUUUUACAACAACUGAUGCUCAUCUGUAAAUUGGCAAGAUGACCAACAAGCAAACCAGUGUAAUACAAAAAACAACUUUGCCCACUCAAGUCUACUUACAGGAAGAAUUCAAGACGUUAUAAAGACUGAUCCCAUGUGUUUCUGUAUAGCCUAAUCAAUAUAAGACAAGGCUAGGUGUCACAGCACCACCUACCUGGAUUACUCACUGAUGUUUCAGUGCAACCCAUGGUCUAUAGCGCUGCCUAGUUUUGUGGUAAUCCUGAGGUCAAGGCUCCCUGUGCGUUUCAUCCAUUCAGACUUUAAAAUAGCAGGUUGUUUUAUUUCCAAUGCUAAAGCAACAGGAAGCUAAAGAUAUGCAUUUAGAAAUUCCAUUAAAAUUGGCGAUGAAUCACAGUGCGGUUAUCAAUCAGCUGACCUUCUGUCUGUGGUCAAAAGUGAUUUCUACAGUCAAUGCUUUAUUGAACUGGGGUUAAGACUUCAAGGGUAAGAUGUGUCAAUAGAUGCAAAAAAAAAAGUAUAACCUUGUACUAGCGGCACUGAAUCUUAUUAGUGAGGUCAUGAAGAGGGUUAUGAAUACAAAAGUACAUGUUAUAUGUACCUGAUGAUUCAGAUGAUCUGUGGAUACUUCCAACACAGAGGUGGAAACAUUCACAGUCACUGCACACUGAUUACACAGCCUUACUUUACAGUGUGGAAGGUAGAGAGCCUACUUGAUAGAGAGCAGCUGUAAUCAACAACAGAAUGAAGUUCAGUGGCUGACCCUGGUGAAAAUCACUUGUCGAACCACAACACCACCACAUGAUUGGGCAGCUCUUUGGUGUGUGUGUGUGUGUGUGUGUGUGUUUUAUUGUUUACACUGCAGAUAAAUGAGUUUCCACAAAAAACUCGCCGGCAGCAUUUUCAACUGUAAUGUGGCUGAAAAAUGUACCUGCCGUUUGUUAAAAGGGCAGAAUUUUAAAAACGGAAAGUUUACGACAAAUUAAAAAAAUAUAUACAGUAUGUCAAAAGCAUGUAUUGUUUACAACAGCCUAUUGUUGCUGAAGUUCAAGUUUGCUGCUGAAAGGGUGUACGCACACCUAUGCUAAAGUCACUGCGAUUGUUCAGUCGUGCAAUGCAAGCUUGGCUGAGAUGGGCUGGGGUGAGAAAGGCAGAAUUUUUUAUAUUCUAGCCGUGUAUGUAUAUUGUUACUAUGUUGUUGCAUCUGUUGAGGGUUUCUUUUUUUUUAAUGUAAGCAGCUCCACUAUAAAUAUAUCAAACAGAAUGUACAUGUUUAACCCCUUCUUUUCCACAGUAAAAUCUCUGAGAAUGUACAGCUUAGCGCUCUGUGUUGUUGAUAUUGUUCAUGUCUCAAACUUUGUAUUUGGGCACACAAAUCUGGGAAUGGAGACGGCUGAACUCACAGCCCAGGAGCAAACUAUACCAGAUCACUCAAGGCAAAUAUACAACUUUUACUUUAACUCCUUCUAGCCUGUUGAAUUAUUGAUGUUUUUUCUUUCUUUUAAUAUUUUAUGUUCUAAGAAUUGAUACCACGAGUCCCUGUGCAGACCUGGAAACCUACCAGUGGACCAGUUGUCAGGGAUGCAUGCCAUGUAUUUGUAAUUUUAUGAGUUUGAUCCCACAGUAUGACCUUUUCUGCAUGCCCCCUCCCCCCACACCCACCUUUCUUGGAAGAAUCCACCGUGCACUGACUGGUAACACAGAAUACGCCACACUCGUAGUCCUCACGUAACGUUCAGGAUUCCUGUCAGGCUUGCAAUUCAGCUAACAGCAUUUUAUCAUUACUUAACGUCACUGUAAGUGAUAGGCCGGCCCCGUUUGUUUUUGGAGCAUGUCGAUUGUGUCAGCGUGACUGUUUUUAUAAUUACAUCAUUUUAACUCGCUAAUUCCAGCUGGUGGAUUGUGACAAACAGCCCUAAUGUCCAUUUGUUAUAUUAUUUGACCCUUUUAACCCCUAGUUUUAUUGUUGACAGUAUUAUUAGAACGACUACAUUGCUUUCACACUGCAUUCUAUUCAUUCUGAAGAAAAUUUGAUUUUGACAAAUGGUAUCACACCUUCAAACCUGGGGCAUUAAAUGUUUAAAUGCAGUACAUCAGCCCUCACUUCUUUUUUAAAAAAUGUUAACAACCUCUUCAGCCACAUUGAUUUGUGAUGCACAAACCGGCUGUGAAACCUUGUUGGCUUCUCAAUAUAACCCUUGACACAACGGUGAUCACUCUCUCUCUCUCUCUCUCUCUCUCUCUCUCUCUCUCUGAUGAAUAUGUAAUGAAUACAACUGACAUGUGAUUAUGAUUUUGUAAUCUGUCUGCCUUUGUAUGCAAGCUCAAUAUUAUGGAAAAAAACAGCUGCAUGCGUGUGUUCUUGGUUUUGUCAUGAGAUGACUUUGCCUCAUGUUUGAUACUGUUUUCUGUAUAAAAAAAAAAAAAUACACAUCUGUGUAUGCUCUAAGAUUAUGCUAUGAGUCAGUCUUUCUUCUGGACAAGAUUUUGUACCUUUGAACACUAUCGCAUUGCCUGUUUGGCUGCUGUAUUGACUAUCUGGAAGCGUGACUUGAUGUGAAUUAAAAUCUCUCCUUUGUU
Etheostoma spectabile (orangethroat darter) is the source of this 3852-nucleotide long non-coding RNA. RefSeq lists it as uncharacterized. The transcript is spliced from 2 exons. The record is from RefSeq and is a predicted model, not a curated record. Lineage: Eukaryota; Metazoa; Chordata; Actinopteri; Perciformes; Percidae.